GAGGUGAGCUUGUCUGGUUGUUCUGUGCUCAUUGUAAAGCUCCCAAUACAUAAAGUAAAAGAUGUCCUACUGCUGGCAAUAUUCCUCAUUUGUUAUUAGUUUCCUCGUCAUCAAUAUUCUGUGUCAGCAAUUGUUUCUUACAUCACCUAUAUACGGUGCACCAGUUAAAAUUCUUUGCCUGAAACAAUUACAUGAUUUGAUUGAUGACACUUUGGAAAUUGGCAGGUAUCUGACAGUUGUUGACCGGCACUGGAACCAUUGACUUCACUUGUUUGGCUCAUCCUCUCCACCUUCUCUUCUCUAUUAGCGUGGGCUAAGAUUCCUGCAUAACUGCAUAACCAAUGGUUUGAUCAAUCAUCAACCACAUACUUCCUGACAACAGUGUGGAUUGGGUGGCUGUACUCGAGUUGAGUUGUUCGAUGGACGCUGCUGAAUAAAGAAAAGGAUGUGGAAGAGCCUACCUUUGUGAAAUAUCAUUAUUAUUAUACACAAGCUAUCAUCCAUCAGGUAACGGCUAUCUUUAUGAAUCUAUCUUUUUUAUACGAUUAAAGAACCAAAUUAUCAAAGCUAGAUAUCAC
RNAcentral lists this long non-coding RNA (578 nucleotides) under Musa acuminata (dwarf banana). RNAcentral describes it as "long non-coding RNA (MACU_LNC001181)". Lineage: Eukaryota; Viridiplantae; Streptophyta; Magnoliopsida; Zingiberales; Musaceae. The record is from RNAcentral.